UUUUGUUUUAAUAAGGGUUUUGAAAACCUUUGAAGGCCAAGAAUUGUCCAACUUU
Molecule: transfer RNA, 55 nt
Filed under: Melibe leonina
Lineage: Eukaryota; Metazoa; Mollusca; Gastropoda; Nudibranchia; Dendronotidae
Description: tRNA-Ser
Source: RNAcentral